UAGGAAAUAUCACAAACGAACAAAUCUCAAUAUUGUCUGAGACAUACGAAACUGACCUCUGGCAUGUAAUUUUGACGAAUUCAAUUUGGAGUUCGCUCGAUGCCGAACAAGUACGCUGGUUUAUAACAUCUCGCGAGUGCUACCAUGCCAUGAUGGCCCUGAGAUCUAUCAGUCACGGUACUACGUAUGUAAUUGAAAACAAAUGUACGAUCAACAAUGAACAACGACAUUUACAUAGCAUUACUGCAUAUUCAUCGGGAUUUCAGUGUGAAUGUUGACAAUAGAGAAGUUUGUUUCUGCCCAGACCCGAAGAGCAGAUUUUGGACAAUUUUGAGUAAAUUUUGUAUCACAAAUAUGUGUUGUUUAUGUAUUACUAUAUUCAGAAGAUUUAUUAAUAAUUUUACAUUCAUAAAUUUUUAUCUACAUAUAGCUCCUCUUUUGAUCGUCUUAUGACCGAAAACAGAAAAAAAAAAUUCUGCAUAAUAGGGUCCCAAAAUUUU
Molecule: long non-coding RNA, 500 nt
Filed under: Mytilus galloprovincialis (Mediterranean mussel)
Lineage: Eukaryota; Metazoa; Mollusca; Bivalvia; Mytilida; Mytilidae
Source: RNAcentral